AGGACGAACGCUGGCGGCGUGCUUAACACAUGCAAGUCGAGCGGUAAGGCCUUUCGGGGUACACGAGCGGCGAACGGGUGAGUAACACGUGGGUGAUCUGCCCUGCACUUCGGGAUAAGCCUGGGGAAACUGGGUCUAAUACCGGAUAUGACCUCAGGUUGCAUGACUUGGGGUGGAAAGAUUUAUCGGUGCAGGAUGGGCCCGCGGCCUAUCAGCUUGUUGGUGGGGUAAUGGCCUACCAAGGCGACGACGGGUAGCCGACCUGAGAGGGUGACCGGCCACACUGGGACUGAGACACGGCCCAGACUCCUACGGGAGGCAGCAGUGGGGAAUAUUGCACAAUGGGCGAAAGCCUGAUGCAGCGACGCCGCGUGAGGAUGACGGCUUCGGGUUGUAAACCUCUUUCAGCGAGGACGAAGCGCAAGUGACGUACCUGCAGAAGAAGCAACCGGCUAACUACGUGUACAGCAGCCGAC
RNAcentral lists this ribosomal RNA (476 nucleotides) under uncultured soil bacterium. RNAcentral describes it as "bacterial SSU rRNA". It matches the Rfam family "Bacterial small subunit ribosomal RNA", at positions 26 to 518 of the family's 1533-position model. The record is from RNAcentral.